RNAcentral lists this transfer RNA (71 nucleotides) under Liolaemus andinus. RNAcentral describes it as "tRNA-Tyr". The record is from RNAcentral. Lineage: Eukaryota; Metazoa; Chordata; Lepidosauria; Squamata.
UGAUAAAAAGAGGAAUUGAACCUCCAUCAAUGGGACUACAGCCCACCACCUAAACAUUCGGCCAUUUUACC